AGCAGCCGCGGUAAUUCCAGCUCCAAUAGCGUAUAUUAAAGUUGUUGCAGUUAAAAAGCUCGUAGUUGAAUUUCGGGAUCAUCAGGUUGGUCUGCCUCUGGUAUGUACUGAUUUCGAUGGUCCCUCCUUCUUGAAGAGCCGUAAUGCCAUUAAUUUGGUGUUGCGGGGAAUCAGGACUGUUACUUUAGAAAAAAUUAGAGUGUUUAAAGCAGGCAAUCGCUUGAAUACAUUAGCAUGGAAUAAUGAAAUAGGACGUUCGAUCCUAUUUUGUUGGUUUCUAGGAUUGACGUAAUGAUUAAUAGGGAUAGUUGGGGGCAUUAGCAUUCAAUUGUCAGAGGUGAAAUUCUUGGAUUUAUUGAAGACUAACUACUGCGAAAGCAUUUGCCAAGGAUGUUUUCAUUAAUCAAGAACGAAAGUUAGGGGAUCGAAGACGAUCAGAUACCGUCGUAGUCUUAACCAUAAACUAUGCCGACUAGGGAUCGGAUGAUGUUAAUUUUUAAUGA
This 503-nucleotide ribosomal RNA is filed under the name uncultured Glomus. RNAcentral describes it as "SSU rRNA". It matches the Rfam family "Eukaryotic small subunit ribosomal RNA", at positions 569 to 1074 of the family's 1831-position model. The record is from RNAcentral. Lineage: Eukaryota; Fungi; Glomeromycota; Glomeromycetes; Glomerales; Glomeraceae.